CCCCUACCAGCAGUCACCUGGUGAGCCUCCUUGAGGAUAACUCGUCCGGAGAUAUCUGGCCUGGGCAGCAGCGGGAGCCAGACUUGGCAUUCUGGGGAUACCCGGAGGAGGGAACUUCUUUCCUAAUGGCCUGUCUGCACUAGACGGGGGGCUCACAGACUGGCCCGGCUUCCUGCCUGCAGUGCCCAGCUGGUGGGGGAUACACGAAGUAUACUGCAGUUCUACGUGUGGAUGGCUGUGUCAGGGGCCACGGGGGCUCAGGAGGAACCGCUCUGUGGGUGCUGGUAUCCCAGAUUGUUCCUUAGUCCAUCCUUCCAAGAUGUAUAUCACUUGCUUGGCAAGCGUCUGGAGUUGGACAAGACCCUUUGAACCUGGUUAGAAAUCCUGUUUUUACAACAGUUCCUCAUACAGCUGGCAGCUGGCGGAUGAUAAGUGGGAGAGCUCUGUGUGUGACUGCUGCGACUUCAGCUGUUCCCAUCCACAAAGAGGCCGGCACCGCGG
This is a long non-coding RNA of Ursus americanus (American black bear), 501 nucleotides long. The record is from Ensembl. Lineage: Eukaryota; Metazoa; Chordata; Mammalia; Carnivora; Ursidae.